ACUCCUACGGGAGGCAGCAGUGGGGAAUAUUGGACAAUGGGGGCAACCCUGAUCCAGCAAUGCCGCGUGAGUGAAGAAGGCCUUCGGGUUGUAAAGCACUUUUAUCAGGAGCGAAAUACUACUGGCUAAUAACCGGUGGGGCUGACGGUACCUGAGGAAUAAGCACCGGCUAACUUCGUGCCAGCAGCCGCGGUAAUACGAAGGGUGCAAGCGUUAAUCGGAAUUACUGGGCGUAAAGCGUGCGUAGGCGGUGAGUUAAGUCUGUUGUGAAAUCCCCGGGCUCAACCUGGGAAUGGCAAUGGAUACUGGCUCGCUAGAGUGUGAUAGAGGAUGGUGGAAUUCCCGGUGUAGCGGUGAAAUGCGUAGAGAUCGGGAGGAACAUCAGUGGCGAAGGCGGCCAUCUGGAUCAACACUGACGCUGAGGCACGAAAGCGUGGGGAGCAAACAGGAUUAGAUACCCUGGUAGUCCACGCCCUAAACGAUGCGAACUGGAUGUUGGUCUCAACUCGGAGAUCAGUGUCGAAGCUAACGCGUUAAGUUCGCCGCCUGGGGAGUACGGUCGCAAGACUGAAACUCAAAGGAAUUGACG
RNAcentral lists this ribosomal RNA (589 nucleotides) under uncultured Dyella sp. Its description in RNAcentral is "bacterial SSU rRNA". It matches the Rfam family "Bacterial small subunit ribosomal RNA", at positions 335 to 915 of the family's 1533-position model. The record is from RNAcentral. Lineage: Bacteria; Pseudomonadati; Pseudomonadota; Gammaproteobacteria; Lysobacterales; Rhodanobacteraceae.